GACGAACGCUGGCGGCGUGCUUAACACAUGCAAGUCGAACGGAAAGGCCCUGCUUUUGUGGGGUGCUCGAGUGGCGAACGGGUGAGUAACACGUGAGUAACCUGCCCUUGACUUUGGGAUAACUUCAGGAAACUGGGGCUAAUACCGGAUAGGAGCUCCUGCUGCAUGGUGGGGGUUGGAAAGUUUCGGCGGUUGGGGAUGGACUCGCGGCUUAUCAGCUUGUUGGGGGGGUAGUGGCUUACCAAGGCUUUGACGGGUCGCCGGCCUGAGGGGGUGACCGGCCACAUUGGGACUGAGAUACGGCCCAGACUCCUACGGGAGGCAGCAGUGGGGAAUAUUGCACAAGGGGCGGAAGCCUGAUGCAGCAACGCCGCGUGCGGGAUGACGGCCUUCGGGUUGUAAACCGCUUUCGCCUGUGACGAAGCGUGAGUGACGGUAAUGGGUAAAGAAGCACCGGCUAACUACGUG
This 468-nucleotide ribosomal RNA is filed under the name uncultured bacterium. RNAcentral's name for it is "partial 16S ribosomal RNA". It matches the Rfam family "Bacterial small subunit ribosomal RNA", at positions 28 to 507 of the family's 1533-position model. The record is from RNAcentral.